Molecule: long non-coding RNA, 857 nt
Organism: Silurus meridionalis
Lineage: Eukaryota; Metazoa; Chordata; Actinopteri; Siluriformes; Siluridae
Exons: 2
Source: RefSeq, a predicted model, not a curated record
CAUGGGGGAGGCAUGCGACCUUGUGCGUUUCUUUCCAAAUCCCUUGACUCCGUGGCUCAGGGUUUGCCGGCCUGUCUUCGUGCCGUUGCCUCCUGUGCUCUGAUGGUAACUGAUGCUGAAAAGAUCAUUCUAUCUCAUCCUCUGAUUCUGCACACCUCACAUCAGUGAUCAGAAGUAAGAACUGACGGCCAUCGGUAGAACUUAUUCUUCCACAGAGUUGAAGAGGGGGAAUGGUCUAAGUAAGCCCGUGGAUGACCUCUGUCGCACCUCAGACCUUCCUGUGCCGCCUCUUCAGACAUUCUCCACAUUGCAGGAAGUGUCGGGAGAAGCAGCGAGGGACUGAACAGCAACCUCUUCUUGAGAAAAGCACAGCCAGUGACCGGUAUGGCUGCCACCGCUCUCCGAGAACCGCAGUAAAUGCGUUUGCGAAAUUCAUCUAAUGAUCAAUACACUGAUACAUUCAUGUGAUUAUACUUAUUAGUUAUUAAGUAUAAAAGAGGGGAUUGUUGAAAUGUAUUCUUUAGUAGCCUUGGCGAACCUUCCUAUCUUGACCUUCUUGGAGACAGGAUGCUCCUGUCUUUGCUGACCUGUACAUUUUGUGCUAUCGCGUGACGUGACAGGAGGAUAGAAGACCAAGGGCGUUCAGUUAGAAGAUAGCUAUAAGCACAUCCUGUUCCUUUUUCUUACACACAUAUUUUCUUACGCACAUAUGUUUCUGACCCCUGGCAACACACGAUAACUCUGUCUGUGUCCCCGCCUUUCCUACGCACUAUGGCUUGGACUGAUGUGUAUAUCUACCCGGCCUUGCAGCUCAGUCCUUUGAGCAGUGGUAUUGAAUAAACCAGACUUGAUUUUAA